GACAAGUGCAUGUGAUAAUGAUCUAAUGUGAUGAGACAUUUGAAGGAGAGACAGAGGUUCUCUUUGGGCAGAUAAAGAAAUAGUCUAAGGUGAAGCAUCUGCAAUAUGGGGCCAAGAAAUAUGGGAAGGAUUCAACAGAGAUGUGGAGGGGAUUUAUUACAAGGGCAGAGGAUGGAUAUGGUUCUCUGUGCAGGGAAGAAGGAAGUGCAAUGAGGCUGAAGUAUCAAAAAAAAAAGUCAAUUUUUUUCUCUUUUAUGACAUUAACUCUCUCUCUUGCCCCCUAACCCCCUUCCACUUUCUUGCAUAAUAUGGAUAAUAUGAAAAAUUAUAUUAGCGGUCCUUUUUAGCUG
Molecule: long non-coding RNA, 350 nt
Organism: Monodelphis domestica (gray short-tailed opossum)
Lineage: Eukaryota; Metazoa; Chordata; Mammalia; Didelphimorphia; Didelphidae
Source: RefSeq, a predicted model, not a curated record